Molecule: ribosomal RNA, 401 nt
Filed under: uncultured bacterium
Lineage: Bacteria
Description: bacterial SSU rRNA
Rfam family: Bacterial small subunit ribosomal RNA
Source: RNAcentral
GGGGAAUCUUGCACAAUGGGGGAAACCCUGAUGCAGCGACGCCGCGUGAGUGAUGAAGCCCUUCGGGGUGUAAAGCUCUUUCGACGGGGACGAUUAUGACGGUACCCGGAGAAGAAGCUGCGGCUAACUACGUGCCAGCAGCCGCGGUAAUACGUAGGCAGCGAGCGUUGUUCGGAAGUACUGGGCGUAAAGAGUGCGUAGGCGGUUCGGCAAGUCUGGUGUGAAAUCUCCCGGCUUAACUGGGAGGGUGCGCCGGAAACUGCCGGGCUAGAGUGUGGGAGAGGAAAGUGGAAUUCCUGGUGUCGCGGUGAAAUGCGUAGACAUCAGGAGGAACACCUGCGGUGUAGACGGCUUUCUGGACCACUACUGACGCUGAGGCACGAAAGCGUGGGGAGCAAACA